UACGGAGGGUGCAAGCGUUAUCCGGAUUCACUGGGUUUAAAGGGUGCGUAGGUGGGCAGGUAAGUCAGUGGUGAAAUCUCCGGGCUUAACCUGGGAACUGCACUUGUGACUGCAUCGCUGGAGUGCGGCAGAGGGGGAUGGAAUUCCGCGUGUAGCAGUGAAAUGCGUAGAUAUGCGGAGGAACACCGGUGGCGAAGGCGGGUCUCUGGGCCGAUACUGACGCUGAGGAGCGAAAGCGUGGGGAGCGAACAGG
Molecule: ribosomal RNA, 253 nt
Filed under: uncultured bacterium
Lineage: Bacteria
Description: partial 16S ribosomal RNA
Rfam family: Bacterial small subunit ribosomal RNA
Source: RNAcentral